RNAcentral lists this long non-coding RNA (432 nucleotides) under Bos taurus (domestic cattle). RNAcentral describes it as "long non-coding RNA NONBTAT027113". Lineage: Eukaryota; Metazoa; Chordata; Mammalia; Artiodactyla; Bovidae. The record is from RNAcentral.
UUAAACACACAACCUAAAGAUUCAUAACUCCUCUAAACAGGUAUUAUGUGUUAACUACCUCCUAGAAGCUGGCAGCAACCAGUCUGGACGAGACAGUCCCUGCUCCUAAUCAACUCUGAACACAGAAGGUGGAGGCGAAACACAUCUCUCACCAAAAUAAGAGGUAAUAAAUGCUGUCACGAUGCCCCAGGCCUGGUACCAAACAGAAGAGUGGGGUUAAUAUUGACGGAACUUGUUUGAAUUUAAUCCCAAAGGGCACCCUGAGACAGAAGGGUCUGUUUAGGCCUUGAAGGAUAAGUAAAACGUAAUACAACAGACAAAUGUGAAAGUACAUUCCAGCAAGAAAAGACAGCGAGCUAAAAAUGGACAGUUUAUCCAUCAAGAUUUUUUUUUUUAAUUUUCGAACGCCAACUCCAGUCUUUGUCUUAUAUU